CCCCUAGAUGUUCUGGGCCGCACGCGCGCUACACUGAACAGUUCAACAAGUCUUAACCUUGGCCGAUAGGUCUGGGUAAUCUUUGAACGCUGUUCGUGAUUGGGAUAGACCUUUGCAAUUAUGGGUCUUCAACGAGGAAUUCCUAGUAAACGCAAGUCAUCAGCUUGCAUUGAUUACGUCCCUGCCCUUUGUACACACCGCCCGUCGCACCUACCGAUUGAAUGGUCCGGUGAAAUCUCGGGACGGCGGCUUGGUCGCUUGCGUCCGACUGCUGAAACAUGAUUAAACCAUAUCAUUUAGAGGAAGGUGAAGUCGUAACA
RNAcentral lists this ribosomal RNA (320 nucleotides) under uncultured eukaryote. Its description in RNAcentral is "partial 18S ribosomal RNA". It matches the Rfam family "Eukaryotic small subunit ribosomal RNA", at positions 1470 to 1796 of the family's 1831-position model. The record is from RNAcentral.